RNAcentral lists this ribosomal RNA (341 nucleotides) under uncultured bacterium. RNAcentral's name for it is "bacterial SSU rRNA". It matches the Rfam family "Bacterial small subunit ribosomal RNA", at positions 573 to 916 of the family's 1533-position model. The record is from RNAcentral.
AGGCGGGCUUUUAAGUCAGUGGUGAAAUCCCAGAGCUCGACUCUGGAACUGCCAUUGAUACUGGAAGUCUUGAAUUUAGUUGAGGUGGGCGGAAUACGUUAUGUAGCGGUGAAAUGCAUAGAUAUAACGUAGAACACCGAUUGCGAAGGCAGCUCACUAAACUAACAUUGACGCUGAUGGACGAAAGCGUGGGGAGCGAACAGGAUUAGAUACCCUGGUAGUCCACGCCGUAAACGAUGAUUACUCGUUGUGCACAAUACACCGUGCGUGACUGAGCGAAAGCAUUAAGUAAUCCACCUGGGGAGUACGUUCGCAAGAAUGAAACUCAAAUGAAUUGACGG